GAUGAACGCUGGCGGCGUGCUUAACACAUGCAAGUCGAACGAAGCAAUUUUCUACGAUCCCUUCGGGGUGACGGAUUAUUGACUGAGUGGCGGACGGGUGAGUAACGCGUGGGUAACCUACCUUGUACAGGGGGACAACAGUUGGAAACGACUGCUAAUACCGCAUAAGCGCACAGCAUCGCAUGAUGCAGUGUGAAAAGUUUUUUCGGUACAAGAUGGACCCGCGUCUGAUUAGCUAGUUGGUGAGGUAACGGCCCACCAAGGCGACGAUCAGUAGCCGACCUGAGAGGGUGACCGGCCACAUUGGGACUGAGACACGGCCCAAACUCCUACGGGAGGCAGCAGUGGGGAAUAUUGCACAAUGGGCGAAAGCCUGAUGCAGCGACGCCGCGUGAGCGAAGAAGUAUUUCGGUAUGUAAAGCUCUAUCU
Molecule: ribosomal RNA, 429 nt
Filed under: bacterium LB3001
Lineage: Bacteria
Description: bacterial SSU rRNA
Rfam family: Bacterial small subunit ribosomal RNA
Source: RNAcentral